AGCAUGUCGCGGUGAAUACGUUCCCGGGCCUUGUACACACCGCCCGUCACACCAUGAGAGUUGGCAAUACCCAACGUACGUGAUCUAACCCGCAAGGGAGGAAGCGUCCUAAGGUAGGGUCAGCGAUUGGGUGAAGUCGUAACAAGGUAUC
Molecule: ribosomal RNA, 151 nt
Filed under: uncultured bacterium
Lineage: Bacteria
Description: partial 16S ribosomal RNA
Rfam family: Bacterial small subunit ribosomal RNA
Source: RNAcentral